GAUGGUGUAGCUUAAAUUGUAAAGUUGUGGUCUUCAAAAUCACAGUUACAGGUUCAACUCCUGUUGCCUUCG
RNAcentral lists this transfer RNA (72 nucleotides) under Candidatus Hodgkinia cicadicola. RNAcentral's name for it is "tRNA-Ser". It matches the Rfam family "tRNA". From Rfam's summary of the family: Transfer RNA (tRNA) molecules are approximately 80 nucleotides in length. Lineage: Bacteria; Pseudomonadati; Pseudomonadota; Alphaproteobacteria; Hyphomicrobiales. The record is from RNAcentral.